RNAcentral lists this ribosomal RNA (253 nucleotides) under uncultured bacterium. Its description in RNAcentral is "partial 16S ribosomal RNA". It matches the Rfam family "Bacterial small subunit ribosomal RNA", at positions 524 to 776 of the family's 1533-position model. The record is from RNAcentral.
UACAGAGGGUGCAAGCGUUAAUCGGAAUUACUGGGCGUAAAGCGCGCGUAGGUGGUUCAGUAAGUUGGAUGUGAAAUCCCCGGGCUCAACCUGGGAACUGCAUCCAAAACUGCUGAGCUAGAGUACGGUAGAGGGUGGUGGAAUUUCCUGUGUAGCGGUGAAAUGCGUAGAUAUAGGAAGGAACACCAGUGGCGAAGGCGACCACCUGGACUGAUACUGACACUGAGGUGCGAAAGCGUGGGGAGCAAACAGG